RNAcentral lists this ribosomal RNA (207 nucleotides) under uncultured bacterium. RNAcentral's name for it is "partial 16S ribosomal RNA". It matches the Rfam family "Bacterial small subunit ribosomal RNA", at positions 568 to 774 of the family's 1533-position model. The record is from RNAcentral.
CGCGUAGACGGUUGUCUAAGUCUGGAGUGAAAGUCCUGCUUUCAAGGUGGGAAUUGCUUUGGAGACUGAAUGACUUGAGUGCGGAAGAGGUAAGUGGAAUUCCCAGUGUAGCGGUGAAAUGCGUAGAGAUCGGGAGGAACACCAGUGGCGAAGGCGACUUACUGGGCCGUUACUGACGCUGAGGAGCGAAAGCGUGGGGAGCGAACA